GAUGAACGCUGGCGGCGUGCCUAAUACAUGCAAGUCGAGCGAACAGACGAGGAGCUUGCUCCUCUGACGUUAGCGGCGGACGGGUGAGUAACACGUGGAUAACCUACCUAUAAGACUGGGAUAACUUCGGGAAACCGGAGCUAAUACCGGAUAACAUGUUGAACCGCAUGGUUCAACAGUGAAAGACGGUUUUGCUGUCACUUAUAGAUGGAUCCGCGUCGCAUUAGCUAGUUGGUAAGGUAACGGCUUACCAAGGCAACGAUGCGUAGCCGACCUGAGAGGGUGAUCGGCCACACUGGAACUGAGACACGGUCCAGACUCCUACGGGAGGCAGCAGUAGGGAAUCUUCCGCAAUGGGCAAAAGCCUGACGGAGCAACGCCGCGUGAGUGAAGAAGGUCUUCGGAUCGUAAAACUCUGUUAUUAGGGAAGAACAAAUGUGUAAGUAACUAUGCACGUCUUGACGGUACCUAAUCAGAAAGCCACGGCUAACUACGUG
Molecule: ribosomal RNA, 497 nt
Filed under: uncultured bacterium
Lineage: Bacteria
Description: partial 16S ribosomal RNA
Rfam family: Bacterial small subunit ribosomal RNA
Source: RNAcentral